GAUGAAGAACGCAGCGAAAUGCGAUAAGUAGUGUGAAUUGUAGAAUUUAGUGAAUCAUUGAAUCUUUGAACGCACAUUGCGCCCCUUGGUAUUCCAUGGGGCAUGCCUGUUCGAGCGUUAUUUGUACCUUCAAGCUCUGCUUGGUGUUGGGUGUUUGUCUCGCCUCUGCGUGUAGACUCGCCUCAAAACAAUUGGUAGCCGGCGUAUUGAUUUCGGAGCGCAGUACAUCUCGCGCUUUGCACUCAUAACGACGACGUCCAAAAGUACAUUUUUACACUCUUGACCUCGGAUCAGGUAGGGAUACCCGCUGAACUUAAGCAUAUCAAUAAGCGGAGGA
RNAcentral lists this unclassified non-coding RNA (337 nucleotides) under soil metagenome. RNAcentral's name for it is "partial contains 5.8S ribosomal RNA, internal transcribed spacer 2, and large subunit ribosomal RNA". The stretch from base 1 to 120 matches the Rfam family "5.8S ribosomal RNA", at positions 35 to 154 of the family's 154-position model. The record is from RNAcentral.